This is a non-coding RNA of Homo sapiens (human), 117 nucleotides long. It matches the Rfam family "Metazoan signal recognition particle RNA". Rfam says of the family: The signal recognition particle (SRP) is a universally conserved ribonucleoprotein. Lineage: Eukaryota; Metazoa; Chordata; Mammalia; Primates; Hominidae. The record is from Rfam.
GCCGGGUGUGGUGGCUCACACCUGUAAUCCCAGCACUUUGGGAGGCCGAGGCAGGUGGAUCACCUGAGGUCAGGAGUUUGAGACCAGCCUGGCCAACAUGGUGAAACCCCGUCUCUA